Molecule: ribosomal RNA, 466 nt
Filed under: uncultured bacterium
Lineage: Bacteria
Description: bacterial SSU rRNA
Rfam family: Bacterial small subunit ribosomal RNA
Source: RNAcentral
GCAAGUCGAACGGAGCUGUUUUCUCUGAAGUUUUCGGAUGGAAGAGAGUUCAGCUUAGUGGCGAACGGGUGAGUAACACGUGAGCAACCUGCCUUUCAGUGGGGGACAACAUUUGGAAACGAAUGCUAAUACCGCAUAAGACCACAGUGUCGCAUGGCACAGGGGUCAAAGGAUUUAUCCGCUGAAAGAUGGGCUCGCGUCCGAUUAGCUAGAUGGUGAGGUAACGGCCCACCAUGGCGACGAUCGGUAGCCGGACUGAGAGGUUGAACGGCCACAUUGGGACUGAGACACGGCCCAGACUCCUACGGGAGGCAGCAGUGGGGAAUAUUGCACAAUGGGGGAAACCCUGAUGCAGCGACGCCGCGUGGAGGAAGAAGGUCUUCGGAUUGUAAACUCCUGUCCCAGGGGACGAUAAUGACGGUACCCUGGGAGGAAGCACCGGCUAACUACGUGCCAGCAGCCGCGG